Molecule: non-coding RNA, 2817 nt
Organism: Cherax quadricarinatus
Lineage: Eukaryota; Metazoa; Arthropoda; Malacostraca; Decapoda; Parastacidae
Source: RefSeq, a predicted model, not a curated record
AUAUUAAGUACAGAAGGUAUAUUAAGUACAGAAGGUAUAUUAGGUACAGAAGGUAUAUUAGGUACAGAAGGUAUAAUUAGUAGGUUUUCCUGGUAAGGAAGAACCAACAUAUUCUGGCUUGAACUGUAAAAUAUAUCUCUAACAUUUUUACAGGAUUUAUCAAUUAAGUAUUUUGGGUAGUGUAGAUCUUUAGCUAUUUUAUAAAUUUUCAAGAUUUCUUCAUAUAUGAACUCUGGACAACAAUACAUGAAGCUCUGAAAAGUAUACAAUGCCCGUCACGGCAUUAUGCCGGGUGAGCGCCCCGACAUAAUGCUGUGAAGAAAAUCAAAGGCCUACGAUAUUUGGGUCUUUUCUCGUCAGUGCAUUCUGCUGGGUAGCAGCCUUUAGCAUGACGUCACGGCGUGCCGCCACACUCCACAGUGACUCCUCAGUGUUUCUUUAACGCAGUUAAAGUACGAACAAAUGUCUUCUUGGAAUGGCCAGGCCGAGGUUUGGCAGACGGUAAGUCGACACUGCAACCAUCCUUGAACCAUGCACCCAGUUCCUUGCUGAAUGCUCACACACAUUAACAUUCUCCAUUAUGUUUUUCGGCUGGUGUCCAGCUUUGUGAAGCUCUAUGAUUUGAGCUAUAUUUUCAAGUGGAAAAGACUUCCUUUUACCCAUAAUCAAAGAUGUACUGCCCCAAAACCAAAGGGAACAAUGGACAAAAGAUGGGGCACAUGAGAGGCUUAAGUGCAACACUUCCCCUCACCAUGUAAGGAACGUGAGCAAUAAGAAGUCACUGUGAAGUGUGGCGGCAGGCCGUGACGUCAUGCUAACAGCUACUACCCAGCAGAAUGCACUGACGAGAAAAUACCCCCUUUCUGGGAGGCCUUUGAUUUUCAUCACAGUAUUAUGCUGGGGCACUCACCCGGCAAAAUACCGUGACGAACACUGUAGAUGACCUGGAGGUUACCUGGAGGUUAUUCCGGAGAUCAACGCCCCCGCGGCCCGGUCCAUGACCAGGCCUCCUGAUGGAUCAGGGCCUGAUCAACUAGGCUGUUACCGCUGGCCGCACGCAGUCCAACGUACGAGCCACAGCCCGGCAGAUCCAGUAGGAACAAUGUUUUGUUGAUUUUCUGUGCAUUUUGAAUUUAUAAUCAUUAAUAAAAGACAAUGAGUUACUUAAUUCAAAUUCAACAUUAAAAUUUAUGGAGUGAGCUAGAAUAUUUAAUUCAACGAGAAAAUUGCUUAUAUCUAUAUUCUUAGACAUUAUAUAUAAAACUUGAUGAAUAUAUCUGCACCACUUUGCUCUAUUGGGAAAGGUUUUGUUUAAGCAGUUUUGUUUCACAAUAUUCCAUGUACAAACUGCUAAGGACAGGUGAGAGAGGAUUUCCCAUUGCCAUACCAAACUUCUGAGUGUAAAACCCGUUAUUAAACACGAAUAUUGUAUCAACAAUACAAAGUUUAACACUCUCAGUGAUUGUAGGUACUGACAAUGAUAAAUCUUAAUUACAGAGUUCUUCAGAUAGGGAACUUAAUAAAUUAUUAACUGGAACUUUCGUAAUCAAGUAAGUAACAUCAAUUAUAACCAUACUGUAAUCAAUUAAACUGGUCAAAGUGCUUAAUAUAUCAACUAAGUCAAUAUUAUUAUUAACAUUAAAGUUAGAAAUUAAGUCAAUUAUUGGGUGUAACAUCAUUUAGCCAUUUGUAUGAUUUAUUGGAAAUUGAUCCUAUAGAGCUAAUAAUGGGUCUGCCUGGAUUACCUAUUUUGUGUGUUUUUAUUAAUCCAUUAAUAUAUGGUAAAGAUGGAUUACUGGUCAUGAAUAUUUUAAUUAGUUUAUUUUUGCCUGUCAGUAGUCGUUAUAUUGUUUCGGUAAAGUUACUUUUAUCUGAAGCUGAGGGAUUAUUUCUAAGUUUGUAAUAUAUAUCUGUAUCAUCUAAGAUUUUGUUUAUUUUACCUUGGUAAUCAAUUUUCCUUUAUAAUUAAUGUGCAGAUAUUUUUCCUGCUUUAGUAAUAUGCAUAUAAUUAUUAAUAAUAAGAUUUUCAAGACUUGAGAAUUCUUUGAGGACAAAUGUGAACAUUUUGUUUUAUCAUAGACCCAUAAACUAUCCCCUUACUUAUAUUAAUUUCAUUAAUGGAUAAAUCAGUAAUUUUUUCCAAGUCACCAAAAAUUUUGUCAAUUUGCACAUUAUUGACUUUAGAGGUUGUAAAACUUAGACUGGUUGUAAAACUUAGACUGGUUGUAAAACUUAGACUGGUUGUAAAACUUAGUUGUAAAACUUAGACUGGUUGUAAAACUUAGACUGGUUGUAAAACUUAGACUGGUUGUAAAACUUAGACUGGUUGUAAAACUUAGACUGGUUGUAAAACUUAGACUGGUUGUAAAACUUAGACUGGAACCUGGAGCAGCAGUUGUGCUCUUAACUGUCUCAUUACACAAGCUAAUUAUAUAGUUGCUAUUAGCAUGUUUAGCCCAGUCAUUGUUUUUAUUUACAUUGUCUAAUUUGCAUUUUAGUUUAUUUUUAAGUUCAUUAUGAACUCUUCUGAGUUUGUAAAGUAAAAGGACACAAGUGCAACUAAUGUGACAUUUAUUGUGGCAACGUUUCGCUCUCCAGGAGCUUUAUCAAGCCAUUACAGUAAUGGCUUGAUAAAGCUCCUGGAGAGCGAAACGUUGCCACAAUAAAUGUCACAUUAGUUGCACUUUUGUCCUUUUACUUUACAUAUUGUCGGUAAUUCUACCAACUUUAUUAUCUUCUGAGUUUAUUAUAACAAUGAUCUAUCACACUUUAUUUCCAUUAUAUUUCAGUAAUUUGAUUAAAAUAUUUUUUUUGCGU